Lycium ferocissimum is the source of this 613-nucleotide long non-coding RNA. RefSeq lists it as uncharacterized. Lineage: Eukaryota; Viridiplantae; Streptophyta; Magnoliopsida; Solanales; Solanaceae. The transcript is spliced from 2 exons. The record is from RefSeq and is a predicted model, not a curated record.
UGGGCUUAUUUUAAGCACAAAAUGGCUUAUAAGCUGGCCAGCUAAACACUCAAAAAAGCUAAAAACAGCUUAUAAGCUAUAAGUGUUUUCAGCAACUUAUAAGAUAAGCCAAACAGGCUCUUAAUUAUGGUGUUAAGGAAAGUAAUCACUUAGCAUAAAUUAUGGUUAGAAAAGAGUUCAUUUAUUAAUGAAGGCCUAGAAAAUCCAGAGGUAGUCUAAAUUCCCAAACUUCCUUUAUCAAUCUGAUAUCUCUUAUAAGUGUUCUAAUGGUGAUUCCUAUUCUUGGGUCUCAUGAUUGUUCCAAGUUCCUUCGUGCGGAUUACGACGUGAUGAACAAAUUGAAUAUCAGCUGAUGUUCGUGGCAAAUGCUCGGCCCCGACAGUUUUUCAGGUUAUUGUUGGAGUUUUCCGGAAGAUGCACGGUGCCUAUCUUGGAGGCCUCCAUCAUUUUCAUUCCGAGAUGGAUGUUGGGUCUCAGAUUUAUUGUUGUAUUCUGGUUCAAUAUUAGCCGCUCUUGUACUAGUCUAGACCAGGUCAAGGGAAACUGAGUCAUUGUAUUUAUUAAAUAGUUGUAAACACUUCCGCUGUUCGUUUAAAUAUAUUGGUUGACUUCU